RNAcentral lists this ribosomal RNA (497 nucleotides) under uncultured bacterium. RNAcentral's name for it is "partial 16S ribosomal RNA". It matches the Rfam family "Bacterial small subunit ribosomal RNA", at positions 28 to 507 of the family's 1533-position model. The record is from RNAcentral.
GAUGAACGCUGGCGGCGUGCCUAAUACAUGCAAGUCGAGCGAACAUAUGAGGAGCUUGCUCCUCUGACGUUAGCGUCGGACGGGUGAGUAACACGUGGAUAACCUACCUAUAAGACUGGGAUAACUUCGGGAAACCGGAGCUAAUACCGGAUAAUAUAUUGAACCGCAUGGUUCAAUAGUGAAAGACGGUUUUGCUGUCACUUAUAGAUGGAUCCGCGCCGCAUUAGCUAGUUGGUAAGGUAACGGCUUACCAAGGCAACGAUGCGUAGCCGACCUGAGAGGGUGAACGGCCACACUGGAACUGAGACACGGUACAGACUCCUACGGGAGGCAGCAGUAGGGAAGCUUCAGCAAUGGGCGAAAGCCUGACGGAGCAACGCCGCGUGAGUGAUGAAGGUCUUCGGAUCGUAAAACUCUGUUAUUAGGGAAGAACAAAUGUGUAAGUAACUAUGCACGUCUUGACGGUACCUAAUCAGAAGGCCACGGCUAACUACGUG